RNAcentral lists this long non-coding RNA (202 nucleotides) under Linum usitatissimum (flax). Its description in RNAcentral is "long non-coding RNA (LUSI_LNC004300)". Lineage: Eukaryota; Viridiplantae; Streptophyta; Magnoliopsida; Malpighiales; Linaceae. The record is from RNAcentral.
AAUUUUGUUCUUUUUGUCUCUUUUGUUUUUGUUUUGGACAUAUAGAUAUCUUGUUUUUGUUGUGGUUGGAUGGUUUGAUGUUUUUUUUUUCAUUUUCUUUGGGGGAAUUGACUUUUUCUUUGUGCUCGUCUUUUGGUUGAUUACAGCGACACCUGUCAAUCCAUUUGAAUCGGAGCUUAUGUAGAUAAUUGUUUCAAUUAUU